This 1582-nucleotide ribosomal RNA is filed under the name Equus asinus (donkey). RNAcentral describes it as "16S ribosomal RNA". It matches the Rfam family "Bacterial large subunit ribosomal RNA", at positions 251 to 2853 of the family's 2925-position model. The record is from RNAcentral. Lineage: Eukaryota; Metazoa; Chordata; Mammalia; Perissodactyla; Equidae.
GAACUAAAGCUAGCCCAAACAAUACCCAACUCAACUACCCUUAGUCACUUAACUAAAACAUUCACCAAACCAUUAAAGUAUAGGAGAUAGAAAUUUUAACUUGGCGCUAUAGAGAAAGUACCGUAAGGGAACGAUGAAAGAUGUAUUAAAAGUACUAAACAGCAAAGCUUACCCCUUUUACCUUUUGCAUAAUGAUUUAACUAGAAUAAACUUAGCAAAGAGAACUUAAGCUAAGCACCCCGAAACCAGACGAGCUACCUAUGAACAGUUAUAAAGAACCAACUCAUCUAUGUCGCAAAAUAGUGAGAAGAUUCGUAGGUAGAGGUGAAAAGCCCAACGAGCCUGGUGAUAGCUGGUUGUCCAGAAACAGAAUCCCAGUUCAAAUUUAAAUUUACCUAAAAACCACUUAAUUCUAAUGUAAACUUAAAUUAUAGUCUAAAAAGGUACAGCUUUUUAGAUACAGGAUACAACCUUUAUUAGAGAGUAAGAAUAAGAUUAAUCCCAUAGUUGGCUUAAAAGCAGCCAUCAAUUAAGAAAGCGUUCAAGCUCAACGUCACACAUAUCUUAAUCCCAAUAAUAGACUCAGACUAACUCCUAAUCUUAUACUGGACUAUUCUAUCGACACAUAGAAGCAAUAAUGUUAAUAUGAGUAACAAGAAUUAUUUCUCCUUGCAUAAGCCUAUAUCAGAACGAAUACUCACUGAUAGUUAACAACAGAAUAGACACAAUCCAAAAACUAACCAUCUAUUUAGACUAUUGUUAACCCAACACAGGUGUGCACCCAUAAGGAAAGAUUAAAAGAAGUAAAAGGAACUCGGCAAACACAAACCCCGCCUGUUUACCAAAAACAUCACCUCUAGCAUUCCCAGUAUUAGAGGCACUGCCUGCCCAGUGACAUCUGUUUAAACGGCCGCGGUAUCCUAACCGUGCAAAGGUAGCAUAAUCACUUGUUCUCUAAAUAGGGACUUGUAUGAAUGGCCACACGAGGGUUUUACUGUCUCUUACUUCCAAUCAGUGAAAUUGACCUUCCCGUGAAGAGGCGGGAAUAAUCAAAUAAGACGAGAAGACCCUAUGGAGCUUUAAUUAACUGAUUCACAAAAAACAACAUACAAACCUAACCCUCAGGGACAACAAAACUUUUGAUUGAAUCAGCAAUUUCGGUUGGGGUGACCUCGGAGAACAAAACAACCUCCGAGUGAUUUAAAUCUAGACUAACCAGUCAAAAUACAUAAUCACUUAUUGAUCCAAACCUUUGAUCAACGGAAUAAGUUACCCUAGGGAUAACAGCGCAAUCCUAUUCCAGAGUCCAUAUCGACAAUUAGGGUUUACGACCUCGAUGUUGGAUCAAGACAUCCUAAUGGUGCAACCGCUAUUAAGGGUUCGUUUGUUCAACGAUUAAAGUCUUACGUGAUCUGAGUUCAGACCGGAGCAAUCCAGGUCGGUUUCUAUCUAUUCUACACUUUUCCCAGUACGAAAGGACAAGAAAAGUAGGGCCCACUUUACAAGAAGCGCCCUCAAACUAAUAGAUGACAUAAUCUAAAUCUAACUAAUUUAUUAACCCCACCGCCCUAGAACAGGGCUC